AUGAGCAAAAAAGGAGGAAUGGGUUUUAGAGAUAUGAAGGCAUUCAAUCAAGCUCUUUUAGCAAAGCAAGCGUGGAGGUUACUACAGUGCCCGGAUUCGCUUUGUGCUUGCAUACUGAAGGCUAGAUAUUUCUAGGAAGGUUCCAUCCUGAGUGCAACAUGUCGGAGUGGUGGCUCGUAUACAUUCCGGAGUAUUUUGUAUGGCCAGGACCUGUUGCUAGAGGAACUGAUAUGGAGAGUGGGCGACGACACCAGGAUAAGAAUCCACCAUGAUAGUUGGAUACCACGCAAGGGCUCCCUCCGGCGACUGGGCCAGAUGUAUGUACAAGGCAUGACACACGUGUGUGAUCUGCUCACCGAGGAAGGAUAUGCUUGGGAUCGGGCCAAGCUUGAUGUGAUGUUCACACCGGACGAUGUGCAAGAUAUACUCCAGGUUACGAUAGGUGGGAAUGGAACGGAAGACUUCCUUGCAUGGACUUUUACUAAUAAUGGGCAGUUCACGGUCAGGCUUAUCACUUGUGCAUGGAGAAGAAGAGAGCAAGAUCGGGACAGCCGGGAUCCUCUUCAUCGGUGGCGACGCACCAAGGGUGGUUGGCUCUUUGGGACGCUAGUGCACCGGGCAAAGCGAUAA
RNAcentral lists this ribosomal RNA (630 nucleotides) under Triticum aestivum (bread wheat). RNAcentral's name for it is "partial small subunit ribosomal RNA". The record is from RNAcentral. Lineage: Eukaryota; Viridiplantae; Streptophyta; Magnoliopsida; Poales; Poaceae.